RNAcentral lists this non-coding RNA (68 nucleotides) under Ruminococcus sp. Lineage: Bacteria; Bacillati; Bacillota; Clostridia; Eubacteriales; Oscillospiraceae. The record is from RNAcentral.
AGCCGAAACAGCGGAUUUUUCCGCUGUCUGCCAGAAAUAGUCUACUGGCACUGAUGAGGCAGACUAAA